This 403-nucleotide ribosomal RNA is filed under the name uncultured bacterium. Its description in RNAcentral is "bacterial SSU rRNA". It matches the Rfam family "Bacterial small subunit ribosomal RNA", at positions 29 to 429 of the family's 1533-position model. The record is from RNAcentral.
AUUGAACGCUGGCGGCAUGCCUAACACAUGCAAGUCGAACGGCAGCACGGCAGUAGCAAUACUGUGGGUGGCGAGUGGCGGACGGGUGAGGAAUACGUCGGAAUCUGCCCAGUCGUGGGGGAUAACUAGCCGAAAGGUUAGCUAAUACCGCAUACGACCGAGAGGUGAAAACGGGGGACCGCAAGGCCUCGCGCGAUUGGAUGAGCCGACGUCGGAUUAGCUAGUUGGUGGGGUAAAGGCCCACCAAGGCGACGAUCCGUAGCUGGUCUGAGAGGAUGAUCAGCCACACUGGAACUGAGACACGGUCCAGACUCCUACGGGAGGCAGCAGUGGGGAAUAUUGGACAAUGGGCGCAAGCCUGAUCCAGCAAUGCCGCGUGUGUGAAGAAGGCCUCGGUUGUAAG